Molecule: ribosomal RNA, 460 nt
Filed under: uncultured bacterium
Lineage: Bacteria
Description: partial 16S ribosomal RNA
Rfam family: Bacterial small subunit ribosomal RNA
Source: RNAcentral
CCUACGGGUGGCAGCAGUGAGGAAUAUUGGUCAAUGGGCUUACGCCUGAACCAGCGAAGUCGCGUGAGGGAAGACUUCCCUCGGGGUUGUAAACCUCUUUUGUCAGGGAGCAAGUGGCGCUACGUGUAGCGUUAUCGGGAGUAGCUGAAGACAAAGCAUCGGCUAACUCGGUGCCAGCAGCCGCGGUGAUACGGGGGAUGCGAGGGUUAUCCGGAUUUAUUGGGGUAAAGGGGUGUGUAAGGGGAAUGCCAAGUCCGCGGGAAAAGCGCGGGGCUCAACCUCGCUCCGCCGUUGAAACUGGCUUGCUGGAGUGGGCGAGAAGUAUGCGGAAUGCGUGGUGUAGCGGUGAAAUGCAUAGAUAUCAGGCAGAACUCCGGUUGCGAAGGCAGCAUACCGGCGCCCAACUGACGCUGAAGCACGAAAGCGUGGGUAUCGAACAGGAUUAGAUACCCGAGUAGUC